CUGAAGCUCAGCUUUUGUUGGGUGGAUGAGUGGCGAACGGGUGAGUAACACGUGAGUAACCUGCCCUCUUCUUUGGGAUAACGCCCGGAAACGGGUGCUAAUACUGGAUAUUCACUGAUCUUCGCAUGGGGGUUGGUGGAAAGGUUUGUUCUGGUGGGGGAUGGGCUCGCGGCCUAUCAGCUUGUUGGUGGGGUGAUGGCCUACCAAGGCUUUGACGGGUAGCCGGCCUGAGAGGGUGACCGGUCACAUUGGGACUGAGAUACGGCCCAGACUCCUACGGGAGGCAGCAGUGGGGAAUAUUGCACAAUGGGCGAAAGCCUGAUGCAGCGACGCCGCGUGAGGGAUGGAGGCCUUCGGGUUGUAAACCUCUUUCGCUCAUGGUCAAGCCGCGACGUGGGUUGUGGUGAGGGUAGUGGGUAAAGAAGCGCCGGCUAACUACGUGCCAGCAGCCGCGGUAAUACGUAGGGCGCGAGCGUUGUCCGGAAUUAUUGGGCGUAAAGGGCUUGUAGGCGGUUGGUCGCGUCUGCCGUGAAAUUCUCUGGCUUAACUGGGGGCGUGCGGUGGGUACGGGCUGACUUGAGUGCGGUAGGGGGAGGUGGAAUUCCUAGUGUAGCGGUGGAAUGCGCAGAUAUUAGGAAGAACACCAGUGGCGAAGGCGG
RNAcentral lists this ribosomal RNA (659 nucleotides) under uncultured Actinomycetes bacterium. RNAcentral describes it as "bacterial SSU rRNA". It matches the Rfam family "Bacterial small subunit ribosomal RNA", at positions 67 to 724 of the family's 1533-position model. The record is from RNAcentral. Lineage: Bacteria; Bacillati; Actinomycetota; Actinomycetes.